RNAcentral lists this ribosomal RNA (714 nucleotides) under Klebsiella pneumoniae. Its description in RNAcentral is "bacterial SSU rRNA". It matches the Rfam family "Bacterial small subunit ribosomal RNA", at positions 723 to 1438 of the family's 1533-position model. Lineage: Bacteria; Pseudomonadati; Pseudomonadota; Gammaproteobacteria; Enterobacterales; Enterobacteriaceae. The record is from RNAcentral.
GGCCCCCUGGACAAAGACUGACGCUCAGGUGCGAAAGCGUGGGGAGCAAACAGGAUUAGAUACCUGGUAGUCCACGCCGUAAACGAUGUCGAUUUGGAGGUUGUGCCCUUGAGGCGUGGCUUCCGGAGCUAACGCGUUAAAUCGACCGCCUGGGGAGUACGGCCGCAAGGUUAAAACUCAAAUGAAUUGACGGGGGCCCGCACAAGCGGUGGAGCAUGUGGUUUAAUUCGAUGCAACGCGAAGAACCUUACCUGGUCUUGACAUCCACAGAACUUUCCAGAGAUGGAUUGGUGCCUUCGGGAACUGUGAGACAGGUGCUGCAUGGCUGUCGUCAGCUCGUGUUGUGAAAUGUUGGGUUAAGUCCCGCAACGAGCGCAACCCUUAUCCUUUGUUGCCAGCGGUCCGGCCGGGAACUCAAAGGAGACUGCCAGUGAUAAACUGGAGGAAGGUGGGGAUGACGUCAAGUCAUCAUGGCCCUUACGACCAGGGCUACACACGUGCUACAAUGGCAUAUACAAAGAGAAGCGACCUCGCGAGAGCAAGCGGACCUCAUAAAGUAUGUCGUAGUCCGGAUUGGAGUCUGCAACUCGACUCCAUGAAGUCGGAAUCGCUAGUAAUCGUAGAUCAGAAUGCUACGGUGAAUACGUUCCCGGGCCUUGUACACACCGCCCGUCACACCAUGGGAGUGGGUUGCAAAAGAAGUAGGUAGCUUAA